Long non-coding RNA from Dicentrarchus labrax (European seabass), 834 nucleotides. RefSeq lists it as uncharacterized. The record is from RefSeq and is a predicted model, not a curated record. NCBI's taxonomy places the organism in Eukaryota, Metazoa, Chordata, Actinopteri, Moronidae. The transcript is spliced from 2 exons.
ACCGCGCUGGAGGAGAAAGAACACGACACAUGUCUCUCCAGGUUCUCACAGGGGGUUUCUGGGAUAAUUGGAGCUCAAAAUGACUCAAUUUCCAGCAGCAAUCCCAACACAUGGCACCAAUUUGUAGCCCUGAAAACGUUAAAGGUCAGCGUGAGCCCCCGUCCAUCACACACACCGACCGUACAAUCACAUCAUCCCGGGGCCUCACCUCCGCUGGCGUCCGUCAGUUCGGUCCUGCGGAGGAAGCCCAGGUAUCCGGUCCUGGCCCAGACGGUCUGCGUGUCUCCGAAACUGAGUCUGGAGUUGAAGUGGUCCGACUGCAACGCCUCGUCUCCGUAGACGGUGAAGUAACCGCUGGCGUUGUGGCCGCUGUGCACCCAGAUCUGCAAGCAAGAGACCGCAGCUGUUACACCACAUGAUAGCGGCUCUUUCUAGUCUUCUGACCCCCCCAGAGCUUUCCACUACGUGUACACCCCGACUGGCACAGCAUCAGGAGCAAUCUAGGGUUCAGCAUCUUGCUCAAGGACACUUCGACAUGCAGCGGGAGGAGCCGGGGAUCGAACCGCCAACCUUCUGAGUACCUCCUGAGCCACAGCCCCAUGGAGCUCCUGUUUACUGCUGCAGUGCAGAUAUUGACUGACUGCUGCUGCAGAUUAUUGUCAUUAUUAAUUAAUUAAUGUCAAACAAAAAGUGUUUAGUUUAGUUUUUAAUGAUACAAGAUUAUUGUGUUUAAUUAUAUUAACAAACUACUUAAAAUCAUGAAUGAAUGACUCAGAUUAUUGUGGAAUUUUCUGUCAAGUUGCUCAAUAAAGCGCCUUCAUUUGAUGAUUGUAA